GAAAACAGUUUCUGAUGAAGCCUAUGUUGGUAGGGACAACUAAGGUUGUUGAUGAAUGCUAACAGCUCUAACACACACAC
Small nucleolar RNA from Pan troglodytes (chimpanzee), 80 nucleotides. It matches the Rfam family "Small nucleolar RNA SNORD74". Rfam says of the family: Z18 also identified as U74 (SNORD74) belongs to the C/D class of snoRNA which contain the C (UGAUGA) and D (CUGA) box motifs. Most of the members of the box C/D family function in directing site-specific 2'-O-methylation of substrate RNAs. NCBI's taxonomy places the organism in Eukaryota, Metazoa, Chordata, Mammalia, Primates, Hominidae. The record is from Rfam.